RNAcentral lists this ribosomal RNA (607 nucleotides) under uncultured bacterium. RNAcentral describes it as "bacterial SSU rRNA". The stretch from base 1 to 520 matches the Rfam family "Bacterial small subunit ribosomal RNA", at positions 338 to 873 of the family's 1533-position model. The record is from RNAcentral.
CCUACGGGAGGCAGCAGUAGGGAAUUUUCCACAAUGGGCGAAAGCCUGAUGGAGCAAUACCGCGUGCAGGAUGAAGGCCUUCGGGUCGUAAACUGCUUUUAUGUGCGAAGAAUUUGACGGUAACACAUGAAUAAGGAUCGGCUAACUACGUGCCAGCAGCCGCGGUCAUACGUAGGAUCCAAGCGUUAUCCGGAAUUACUGGGCGUAAAGAGUUGCGUAGGUGGCAUUAUAAGUGGAGCGUGAAAGCGUGCGGCUCAACCGCAUUAUUGCGUUCCAAACUGUGAAGCUUGAGUAUGGGAGAGGUAGAUGGAAUUUCUAGUGUAGGAGUGAAAUCCGUAGAUAUUAGAAGGAACACCGAUGGCGUAGGCAGUCUACUGGCCCAUUACUGACACUAAGGCACGAAAGCGUGGGGAGCAAACGGGAUUAGAUACCCCGGUAGUCCACGCUGUAAACUAUGGAUGCUAGCUGUGACACACAUCGACCUGUGUCGUAGCGAAGUUAACGCGUUAAGCAUCCCGCCUGGGGGAGGUACGGUCGCGAGAAGUUAAACGUUAAAGUUAAAGUUAGUACGCGUUGAGAGNGCGACGGACGACGACGAGGGAGGAGG